GUAAACGUCAAUGUCGGCGAGGUUUCCGGAAGCUGUGACAGGAGCUGCUCUGGAGGGGAAGAUACUGAGCCCCAGGGGCGGGGGGCUGUGCACCUGACCGGGCCGCCCCCACCGGACCCGGGUGUGGUCCGGGUCCCGGUCCCGAUCCCGAAGGGCGCAGACAGGCCCUCCUGGCCGGCCGCCCGCUGGUCGGGAUGCAGUCACUAGAACCGGAGGGGUGUGGGCCUGAGGGGACACCCAGUGUUAUGCCUGAGGCCCAACCUGAUCCUCCACCUGCCCCACCUAAGCUUCCAGUGCUUGACCUCUUCAACUUGGUCCUGUUUUACAAGAGGCUUGUUCUCUACUUGGAGCCCCUCAAGGAUGCAGGGGAUGGGAUCCUUUAUUUGCUCAGGUGGCAGACACCAGUGUGUUCCUUGCUGACCUGCCUGGGCCUCAAUUUCCUCUUCCUCACUCUGAAUGAGGGUGCCUGGUACUCAGUGGGUGCCCUGCUGAUUUCUGUGCCUGCCUUGCUGGGCUACCUGCAGGAGGUGUGCCGGGUCCGCCUCCCUGAGCCCGAGCUGAUGCGGAGGAAGUGUCACGGUGUGCGGCAGGAUGAUCUGCGGAAGGUCCGGCUGUCACGGCCUGAGGCCGUGGCAGAGGUGAAGAGCUUCUUGAUCCAGUUGGAGAGCUUCUUGAAUCAGUUGUGCUGUAGGUGUGAGUCGGUCUAUCGAGUGUUGUACUGGGAGAACCCAGCAGUGUCCUCACAAUUCUAUGGAGCCCUGUUGGGAUCCGUCUUUGUGCUGUAUGUGUUACCCCUGUGCUGGGUCCUUGCCCUUCUCAACAGCACUCUCUUUCUGGGAAAUGUGGAGUUCUACCGAGUAGUGGCAGAAUACCGGGCUACCCUGCAGCAGAGGAUGAACCCUAAGCUUUCAGUGAACACUGAGGGAUGCCUGGAAUCAGACGGCGGAGGAAAAGGAGCGUUGCUGGACUGCAGUUCAACCCCUACUCCCACCGAGGACCUCACACCAGGCAGUGUGGAGGAGGCAGAAGAGGCUGAGCCAGAUGAAGAAUUUAAAGAUGCUAUUGAGGAAACCCACUUGGUGGUGCUGGAGGAUGAUGAGGGAUCUCCCUGCAAUGUGGAAUAUGAUCUGGCCCUACACGACAAUGGUUUUAUGAGCAAGAAUGAAGUGAUUCGAAGCAAGGUGUCUCGACUCACUGAGAAGCUCCGAAAACGUUAUCCCACCAACAAUUUCGGAAACUGUACAAGCUGCUCGGCUACCUUCUCAGUGCUGAAGAAGCGGCGCAGCUGCAGUAACUGUGGAAACAGCUUUUGCUCCCGGUGCUGCUCCUUCAAGGUCCCCAAGUCCUCCAUGGGAGCCACAGUGGAUAGUGUGAGUGCUUGAAGUUGCCUCUGGUUCCUUGGGAGAGAGCAUUGUUGUCAUGGUGGCCAUGAAAUCCCCAGGAUUUCUCAAGAACUGCUGUUUCCAUGGAAAAAGAAAUUCUAAAUGCCAACCCCUGAAGCACAGAGAGAGACUGUAUUUGUGUGUGGCUCAUGUAACCAGACCCUGAGCAAGUGAGAAGAGAGUCCUAGGAGGGGCAUUCGUGAGCCCAUCCUGCCCACCCUCCCCUCCUGAGCCUGCUCCAGAGGCUAGCAGUUAGAGUCUCCCCAGAUACCUCAUUCCAGUGUAGCUGGGCAGAGCUGGGUGUGAACAUUGGAUGGGUGCCUCCCCUUCCUUUCAUCACCUUUGACAUACCUGCCCUAGGGUCACUGAUGACAUUUCUAGCUUCUCUUUAUAUUCCUCUGGAUGACUAGAAUGAUAGCUCCCCUCAAAUCUCUGUGCAGGGUAACCCCUGGAUUGCUAAAAGUGUCCUCUGCUACAGUGGACUGUAGGGGAAGCAAAAUUGAAUGGGAAAUUAGAGUGGGCAGCAGUGAGUGAAUUCCAAAUCUUGGCCUGAUUACUUGUAAGUAGGGCUUAACCUUCACCCUGUGGCCUUCAUGAUACUGGUAGUUGUGGAAGGAACUGGACCCCUAAAGCUAUAAAGGAACCUUCAUUGCACAUUAGCUUGUAGGGACAGAAACACCUGAGUACUUGAUCCCAGGUGGCCUUCCAGGAGAGCUUGUCUAGAGAUGGUUGGGUGGUAGCCAUAGCUCCCUGUCCGUGGCAUUUCAAUGCCCCUACUAGGGCUGCAGUUGCAGGCUGUCACCAUGUGACCUCUGGGGCUGUAAUUGUCAAGGGCGCAGAAUG
Molecule: RNA transcript, 2225 nt
Organism: Phascolarctos cinereus (koala)
Lineage: Eukaryota; Metazoa; Chordata; Mammalia; Diprotodontia; Phascolarctidae
Gene: ZFYVE27
Gene name: zinc finger FYVE-type containing 27
Source: RefSeq, a predicted model, not a curated record